RNAcentral lists this ribosomal RNA (311 nucleotides) under uncultured fungus. RNAcentral describes it as "eukaryotic LSU rRNA". The stretch from base 1 to 52 matches the Rfam family "5.8S ribosomal RNA", at positions 103 to 154 of the family's 154-position model. The record is from RNAcentral. Lineage: Eukaryota; Fungi.
AACGCACCUUGCGCCCUUUGGUAUUCCGAAGGGCAUGCCUGUUUGAGUGUCAUUAAAUUAUCAACCUUGCUCGCUUUUACCGGCUUGAGUUAGGCUUGGAUGUGAGGGCUUUGCUGGCUUCCUUCAGUGGAUGGUCUGCUCCCUUUAAAUGCAUUAGUGGGAUCUCUUGUGGACCGUCACUUGGUUGUGAUAAUUAUCUACGCCGUCGGAUGUCUGCUUUAAAGGGUGUGCGCUGCUUCUAACCGUCUAUUAAGUUGGACAAUCAAUGACAAUUUGACCUCAAAUCAGGUAGGACUACCCGCUGAACUUAA